UCAUAUUCAAAGUUGGGCAGAUAUCUAAUCACAGUGGUAACUUGGUGAACAGAAUCCAUUCUUUUAAGCAUUUCUGAAUGCGAAUAUAGAAAAGCAAGUUUGGAGGGCGGUGCAAUGGAUUUGGAUUCAUUAGGGCAACAAAAAAAAGAGUUAAAAAAGACGAGGCACAUUCUUGUUAUUUUGGCACACAAAAAGGUAAAAAUACAGGUGAUGUUCUAAAGCAGCAAAGGAGAUAAGAGGUCCCUAAAGUUCCACUGAAUAAUAUACGAGAACCCACCUGAAGAUGUUACAUACAAUAUUUCUCCCACAAAAACUAUAUCUUAGCCCAUGAAAUUAAAUCAAAGUGGUCCAGGCUCCAAGCUUUCAUUUUCAUGGCAAGCAGACCAAGCAUCGAGCAUGUAUUUCGUCACCAUAAGCCUGAAUCACCGGAAAAUCUCCUUUUAGAAGCUUUAAUCAACCUGGCUGAUUUCCCAUUGCAUGGCUGCGUAGUGCGAUUCAACUUUUGUGAGGAAACUCCGGGCACAAUCAAAGAAGAACAAUGUUUCGCCACCUUUUUUUUUCUUUUUUUUCUUUUUUUGCGGGUUUGAGAGAGCGAUGGUCGUCUAGAACCACUAGUGAUUUUGCGGCUGGUUUGGGUUGAAACUUGGAACAGAAUUAGGUUCUUUCCAUGCAAAGCCCAUGAUAGUAUUUCUUGACUUGUUUGCACAGAUGGAAAUUAUUUUAAUUUCUUCAACUUUUUCCGACAACGAUGGCAGCGUUUUUUGAGUCAUCUGAUAAGGAGGGAGGGAGGCUUUGAAAUUUCAGUGCAAAAUGCCAAAACAAAGUGGUUACUUUACUCACUUUAGCUCUGUUCCUAGAGAAACAAACAAGGGUUGCUUUGG
RNAcentral lists this long non-coding RNA (881 nucleotides) under Populus tremula. Its description in RNAcentral is "long non-coding RNA (PTRE_LNC002609)". The record is from RNAcentral. Lineage: Eukaryota; Viridiplantae; Streptophyta; Magnoliopsida; Malpighiales; Salicaceae.